This 660-nucleotide unclassified non-coding RNA is filed under the name Zea mays. Its description in RNAcentral is "misc RNA Zm00001eb087560". The record is from RNAcentral. Lineage: Eukaryota; Viridiplantae; Streptophyta; Magnoliopsida; Poales; Poaceae.
GUGCUCCUCCAUGUGUGCACGGUCCAUCGCUCUCGCGUCGCUCGGUCUGCGCGUCCCUGCGUCCGGAUCCUCUCCCUCCAGCUCGGCGCCCAUCCAUGCUGCGUCGCCCUCUCUCUCAUCUCCAAGCCGAGACCCUCGCCGUGAAGCUUCCAUGUGGCCGCGCGUACUCCCUCUGCUUCUCCCUCGUGGCGCUCAACCUUGCCGAGCUUCCUUGCCAUGGCUCUUCCACAGCCCGGCUCUGCCCCAUCGUCGAUCGCCCAUCUCCAUGGUCGCGCGCCCUCCAGUUCUAUGGCCGUGCCGCGCGUCCUGGAGCUCACCGCGCCCGGCCAAGCUCCCCUGUGCACGCCCAGCCACUCCUCUCUCCCUUGCAGCGCGCGUCCCUCUGCUUGCCAAAGCACCAGCUCGGUCGCUCCGUUCGUGCUUCCGCGGAGGCCGCAGCUCUUCCUCUGGUGCGCGCGCCCCAUCUCCCUGGUGCUCGGCCAGCUCACCCAUGGCGCGCCGUGCUCCUCUGCUCUCCCCGCCGGCCCGAGCUCCCUAUGGCGUGCAUCUCCCUGGCAAAAGCUCUCUCUUCCCUCUCCCAUGGCGCGUCUCGAGCUCCACCUCGGGUCGUCGUCUCCGAGCUCGACCCCAAACUGUUGUGCGUCCUAUCCUAUCUCCGAG